UGGUGCCUGAGGAGAAGUUGCCCAUGUUCUUUUCGCUUGAUACGUGACGAAACAAACAUGGUGCACUUCUUUUUCGGUGUCA
Molecule: microRNA precursor, 82 nt
Organism: Erinaceus europaeus (western European hedgehog)
Lineage: Eukaryota; Metazoa; Chordata; Mammalia; Eulipotyphla; Erinaceidae
Source: Ensembl